Molecule: transfer RNA, 75 nt
Filed under: bacterium
Lineage: Bacteria
Description: tRNA-Lys
Rfam family: tRNA
About the family: Transfer RNA (tRNA) molecules are approximately 80 nucleotides in length. Their secondary structure includes four short double-helical elements and three loops (D, anti-codon, and T loops).
Source: RNAcentral
GGGCCGCUAGCUCAAUGGCAGAGCAUCCGGCUCUUAACCGGCAGGUUCCGAGUUCGACUCUCGGGCGGCCCACCA